UACAGAGGUGGCAAGCGUUGUUCGGAAUUACUGGGCGUAAAGGGCGCGUAGGCGGUCUGCCAAGUCCCGUGUGAAAGCCCCCGGCUCAACCGGGGAACGGCGCGGGAAACUAGCAGACUUGAGUUCGGGAGAGGGAAGCGGAAUUCCGGGUGUAGCGGUGAAAUGCGCAGAUAUCCGGAGGAACACCGGUGGCGAAGGCGGCUUCCUGGACCGACACUGACGCUGAGGCGCGAAAGCUAGGGGAGCAAACGGG
Molecule: ribosomal RNA, 253 nt
Filed under: uncultured bacterium
Lineage: Bacteria
Description: partial 16S ribosomal RNA
Rfam family: Bacterial small subunit ribosomal RNA
Source: RNAcentral